GAUGAACGCUGGCGGCGUGCUUAACACAUGCAAGUCGAACGGUGAAGGCGGAGCUUGCUCUGCUGUAUCAGUGGCGAACGGGUGAGUAACACGUGAGCAAUCUGCCCCUGACUCUGGGAUAAGCGCUGGAAACGGCGUCUAAUAAUGGAUACGAGCUGCGCAGGCAUCUUCAGCAGCUGGAAAGAACUUCGGUCAGGGAUGGGCGCGCGGCCUAUCAGCUUGUUGGUGGGGUAACGGCUCACCAAGGCGUCGACGGGUAGCCGGCCUGAGAGGGUGACCGGCCACACUGGGACUGAGACACGGCCCAGACUCCUACGGGAGGCAGCAGUGGGGAAUAUUGCACAAUGGGCGAAAGCCUGAUGCAGCAACGCCGCGUGAGGGACGACGGCCUUCGGGUUGUAAACCUCUUUUAGCAGGGAAGAAGCGAAAGUGACGGUACCUGCAGAAAAAGCGCCGGCUAACUACGUG
This 468-nucleotide ribosomal RNA is filed under the name uncultured bacterium. RNAcentral's name for it is "partial 16S ribosomal RNA". It matches the Rfam family "Bacterial small subunit ribosomal RNA", at positions 28 to 507 of the family's 1533-position model. The record is from RNAcentral.